GGCUGGUCUGAAGGUAGUGUGUUAUCUCAAUUAAUUGUUUGCAGUCAGUUACAGAUCAAACUCCUUGUCCUUCUCUUUUUGUCCUUCUCACUACUGCACUCACGACGACAACA
Y RNA from Callithrix jacchus (white-tufted-ear marmoset), 113 nucleotides. It matches the Rfam family "Y RNA". From Rfam's summary of the family: Y RNAs are components of the Ro ribonucleoprotein particle (Ro RNP), in association with Ro60 and La proteins. The record is from Ensembl. Lineage: Eukaryota; Metazoa; Chordata; Mammalia; Primates; Cebidae.